GGUGAACGCUGGCGGUAUGCUUAACACAUGCAAGUCGAACGGUACCUUCGGGUAUAGUGGCGGACGGGUGAGUAACGCGUGAGAAUCUAUCUUCAGGUCGGGGACAACAGUUAGAAAUGACUGCUAAUACCGGAUGUGCCGAAAGGUAAAAGAUUUAUUGCCUGAAAAAGAGCUCGCGUCAGAUUAGCUAGUAGGUGGCGUAAGAGACUACCUAGGCUUCGAUCUGUAGCUGGUCUGAGAGGACGAUCAGCCACACUGGAACUGAGACACGGUCCAGACUCCUACGGGAGGCAGCAGUGGGGAAUUUUCCGCAAUGGGCGAAAGCCUGACGGAGCAAUACCGCGUGAGGGACGAAGGCUCUUGGGUCGUAAACCUCUUUUCUCAAGGAAGAUUCAGACGGUACUUGAGGAAUAAGCAUCGGCUAACUCUGUG
RNAcentral lists this ribosomal RNA (432 nucleotides) under uncultured bacterium. RNAcentral's name for it is "partial 16S ribosomal RNA". It matches the Rfam family "Bacterial small subunit ribosomal RNA", at positions 28 to 507 of the family's 1533-position model. The record is from RNAcentral.